AUGCCUCAUACAUGCAAGUCGAACGAGGUCUUCGGACCUAGUGGCGCACGGGUGAGUAACAUGUGGGAAUCUACCUGAAGGUUCGGAAUAACUGCGGGAAACUGUAGCUAAUACCGGAUGUGUCUGCAAAGAGAAAGAUUUAUCGCCUUCAGAUGAGCCCGCACUAGAUUAGCUAGUUGGUGAGGUAAUUGCUCCACCAAGGCUACGAUCUAUAGCUGAUUUGAGAGGAUGAUCAGCCACACUGGGACUGAGACACGGCCCAGACUCCUACGGGAGGCAGCAGUAGGGAAUAUUGGACAAUGGGGGAAACCCUGAUCCAGCAAUGCCGCGUGAGUGAAGAAGGCCUUCGGGUUGUAAAGCUCUUUCAUCAAUGAUGAUAAUGACAUUAGUUGAAGAAGAAGCCCCGGCUAACUUCGUGCCAGCAGCCGCGGUAAUACGAAGGGGGCUAGCGUUGUUCGGAAUCACUGGGCGUAAAGCGUAUGUAGGCGGAUCAAAAAGUUAGAUGUGAAAUCCCUGGGCUCAACCCAGGAACUGCAUUUAAAACUAGUGAUCUAGAAUUUGGUAGGGGUUAGUAGAAUUUCCAGUGUAGAGGUGAAAUUCGUAGAUAUUGGAAAGAAUACCAGUGGCGAAGGCGACUAACUGGGCCAUUUUUGACGCUGAGAUACGAAAGCGUGGGUAGCAAACAGGAUUAGAUACCCUGGUAGUCCACGCAGUAAACGAUGAGUGCUAGUCGCUGGGACAAUAGUUUCAGUGUCGAAGCUAACGCAUUAAGCACUCCGCCU
RNAcentral lists this ribosomal RNA (782 nucleotides) under uncultured Alphaproteobacteria bacterium. RNAcentral's name for it is "bacterial SSU rRNA". It matches the Rfam family "Bacterial small subunit ribosomal RNA", at positions 44 to 874 of the family's 1533-position model. The record is from RNAcentral. Lineage: Bacteria; Pseudomonadati; Pseudomonadota; Alphaproteobacteria.